This 330-nucleotide ribosomal RNA is filed under the name Triticum aestivum (bread wheat). Its description in RNAcentral is "partial small subunit ribosomal RNA". The record is from RNAcentral. Lineage: Eukaryota; Viridiplantae; Streptophyta; Magnoliopsida; Poales; Poaceae.
AUGUACAGAAUUUACCCCCAAUUCCUCCUCUCGUCUUCAGCAACUACUAGUUGGUGUAUGUACAAGGAAGAUGAUGAAGAAAAAGUAAACCGCCGCCGCCUUGAACCGAACCACUCGGAACCAAUUGGAAGCCUGACCCUACUCCUAAUCCAUGUGCUCGAUCCGGAUGAUGAUCAGCUCCUCCUCCUGCGGCCUCUCCGCUCCUCGCAGCGUCACGAUGCUGACCAGCAGCGCGCCCUAGCCCCGUCCUCUCGUCGUCGCCAUUCUACUGCUCCUCGACAGAAUUUGCUGCAGCACCGGAAUGGGUGGAUGCUAAUUUUUCCCACAUGA